ACUAAUCUCAGCCCUCAAUCAAUCCAAUCCAAUGAUCCACAUCUCACCCGAUCAAAUAAAAAAAUAAGGGUAAUGUGGUAAUAUCGCAUUGUUGAAUGACCUCCUCCCCUCAACCUGAUUUUCAGAUUUCUUUUCUCUCUCUUCCCCCGUUUUCUCUCUCCUCCUGCAAAUUCCCUCUCCUCUGCGAUUCACCUUCAACCGGUUCAUAGCUUUGUACUUAUUACAUUCGCAUCUUCUCUCAUUCAUCAAGUUUUCGCAAAAUAAGUCGGAAUAUGUAAUCUAGAAACUGAAGGAGAUGGGAAAGGUUUCAGAUAAACACAUUCUACUGAUAUGCAAGAAGUUCGAUCAGCUGGAUGCUGGCAGCUGUGGAAAAAUUACACUAGCAGAUCUUAUGCACAAUCACCACCGGAUUUAUUUUAGUUAUCAGUUGCUUUCAAUCUAAAUAUUGGCAGAGUAAUGUUAUGUCGUAGGGCUCAGAAGGUGAAAGGUGUUGGUCUUUUAUCUGUAAAUACACACCAGCUGUUCUGCUUUAUUUGGCUGCUGCUUUAUAUUCUGCAUUUAGUUGUUCUGGUUCC
Spinacia oleracea (spinach) is the source of this 575-nucleotide long non-coding RNA. RefSeq lists it as uncharacterized. The transcript is spliced from 2 exons. The record is from RefSeq and is a predicted model, not a curated record. Lineage: Eukaryota; Viridiplantae; Streptophyta; Magnoliopsida; Caryophyllales; Amaranthaceae.